This 440-nucleotide ribosomal RNA is filed under the name uncultured bacterium. RNAcentral's name for it is "partial 16S ribosomal RNA". It matches the Rfam family "Bacterial small subunit ribosomal RNA", at positions 339 to 795 of the family's 1533-position model. The record is from RNAcentral.
CUACGGGUCGCAGCAGUGGGGAAUAUUGCACAAUGGGGGAAACCCUGAUGCAGCAACGCCGCGUGGAGGAUGACGCAUUUCGGUGUGUAAACUCCUUUUAUAUAGGAAGAUAAUGACGGUACUAUAUGAAUAAGCACCGGCUAACUCCGUGCCAGCAGCCGCGGUAAUGACGGAGGGUGCAAGCGUUACUCGGAAUCACUGGGCGUAAAGCGCGCGCAGGCGGCCUUUUAAGUUGGAUGUGAAAGCCUAUGGCUUAACCAUAGAACUGCAUCCAAAACUAUCAGGCUAGAGUCUGGGAGGGGAAGGUGGAAUUAGUUGUGUAGGGGUAAAAUCCGUAGAGAUAACUAGGAAUACCAAAAGCGAAGGCGAUCUUCUGGAACAGUACUGACGCUGAGGCGCGAAAGCGUGGGGAGCAAACAGGAUUAGAUACCCUUGUAGUC